RNAcentral lists this ribosomal RNA (116 nucleotides) under Salmonella enterica. Lineage: Bacteria; Pseudomonadati; Pseudomonadota; Gammaproteobacteria; Enterobacterales; Enterobacteriaceae. The record is from RNAcentral.
UCUGGCGGCAGUAGCGCGGUGGUCCCACCUGACCCCAUGCCGCACUCAGAAGUGAAACGCCGUAGCGCCGAUGGUAGUGUGGGGUCUCCCCAUGCGAGAGUAGGGAACUGCCAGAC